RNAcentral lists this transfer RNA (63 nucleotides) under Leptotyphlops nigroterminus. RNAcentral describes it as "tRNA-Val". The record is from RNAcentral. Lineage: Eukaryota; Metazoa; Chordata; Lepidosauria; Squamata; Leptotyphlopidae.
AAAAAGUAGCUUAAAAAAAGCNUUCAAUUAACAACCGGAAAAUAUGGCCCCCAAUCUUUUUAA